Molecule: ribosomal RNA, 492 nt
Filed under: uncultured bacterium
Lineage: Bacteria
Description: partial 16S ribosomal RNA
Rfam family: Bacterial small subunit ribosomal RNA
Source: RNAcentral
AGUGAACGCUGGCGGUAGGCCUAACACAUGCAAGUCGAACGGCAGCACAGUAAGAGCUUGCUCUUACGGGUGGCGAGUGGCGGACGGGUGCGGAAUACAUCGGAAUCUACUUUUUCGUGGGGGAUAACGUAGGGAAACUGACGCUAAUACCUCAUACGACCUACGGGUGAAACCAGGGGAUCUUCGGACCUUGCGCGAUCCAAUGAGCCGAUUUCGGAUUACCUAGUUUGCGGGGUAAAGGCCCACCAAGGCGACGAUCCGUAGCUGGUCUGAGAUGAUGAUCAGCCCCACUGGAACUGAGACACGGUCCAGACUCCUACGGGAGGCAGCAGUGGGGAAUAUUGGACAAUGGGCGCAAGCCUGAUCCAGCCAUACCGCGUGGGUGAAGAAGGCCUUCGGGUUGUAAAGCCCUUUUGUUGGGAAAGAAAGGCAGCAGGUUAAUACCCCGCUGUUCUGACGGUACCCAAAGAAUAAGCACCGGCUAACUUCGUG